CACAAAUGGGGGAGGGGCGAUGAACUAUAAUCUUUCAAACCAGAGUCUGGGGAGCUGGCCUAUCUAAUUUGAAGAAACUGAAAGAGAAUCCUUGGAACCCUCGCUCCUUCGGGUGCACACCCACCCCAUUCCAGCAGACGCACACACGCCCCGCCCGAACAAGUCCACGAUGCCAGGCUGGACCUUCAGAGCACAGGAACCGCCCAAGGACACUUGCCUUGACUGGAACCCAAGCGGAGGCUGGGCAGAGGCAGGUCACCCCAGCUGAGUGAUCACAUUACCCUGGCAGCUGUCCAAGGGGCAGUUCCCAGCUGCACCUGUUUGUAGGACGACCGCUUUUAUCAGUAUUGACACAGCAGCGGGUCUGGGAACAGCAUUGCAAUAAAUAAAUGGAGGGGGGUGCAGGCGGGACAGGGGCAGAGCCACUGAGGCCAGCAGAAAGGGAUGAGGUCUUUUGCUGAUUGUCAGCACUUUCAGUUCAAAUACCACCACCACCCCCUCUCCCUCCCUGGAACCUCUAAAGAUCCUGCAGGCUGACUUGUGCCUAAGAGCCCUGGGUCUUAAAGAGAUAGAAUUGCAGAAUCACCUUAGGCUCUCUUCACGUCUAGCUCAACGAUUAAGAGCAGCGGCUGCUUCUGCAGACAACUUAGGCUCUGUCUGCAGCACCUGUAGGGGCGGCUUGCAACCACCUACGUGUGACUCCAGUUCCAGGGGAUCUAAUGUCUUCUUCUGAUCUCAGAAUGAAACAGGAACCCACAUGGCACACGGAUAUCCAUGCGGGGGGGGGGGGGAACACUGAUAAAUAUAAGAUAAAAAUAAACCUUAAAACAACAAGAA
RNAcentral lists this small RNA (837 nucleotides) under Rattus norvegicus (Norway rat). RNAcentral describes it as "uncharacterized LOC108349043". Lineage: Eukaryota; Metazoa; Chordata; Mammalia; Rodentia; Muridae. The record is from RNAcentral.